This 607-nucleotide long non-coding RNA is filed under the name Heterocephalus glaber (naked mole-rat). Its description in RNAcentral is "lncRNA (ENSHGLG00000041218.1)". The record is from RNAcentral. Lineage: Eukaryota; Metazoa; Chordata; Mammalia; Rodentia; Bathyergidae.
AGCCACUCAGAUGCUGCUAUGUGAAAGAGCCAUACUUGUUGCUUGCUGCUUGAACAUCUACUUUUUCUCCUCCAGUGUGUGAUAAACUUGGGAGAUCAUACACUGCAGUCGUGCCACUGGGGAAAAGACAGAGGAAAGGGGAAAGGGACAAGGAGGAAGAGAAGAAAAGGAGGAGGAAGAGAAGAAAAGGAGGAGAAAGAGCAGGAGGGAAAGAAGGCCCUGCCCCAUCGCUAAUGGAUGGUCCUAAGAGCCACACACACGACACCAUGAAGUCCUCACUGGCCACUGGAUGAAGGAAGACUGGCAGCUCUACUUCAAUUGUCUCAUCCUGGCACAACUAGAUCAAAAUCCAAAUACAAUCUGUGUGUGGAUGCUAUACCACAGGAAAUGGAAGAGGUACACAUUCUCCAAACAUCAGAUACUUUAUACAUAUAUUGUUUCAAAACUACAGAACCUCUGCAGAGAGAGUACUGAUGUCUUCACUGCGCAGAUGAGAAAGGUGAGAUUCAGUUGUUUGUCUGUCCCCACUCAUGGGGUGGUGUUUAUGUUACCCAAACUGUUUCCAAAAAGACUGUUGCUUUGAAAUAGGCAAGAUUUUAGGUUGAAG